RNAcentral lists this ribosomal RNA (433 nucleotides) under uncultured bacterium. Its description in RNAcentral is "partial 16S ribosomal RNA". It matches the Rfam family "Bacterial small subunit ribosomal RNA", at positions 29 to 507 of the family's 1533-position model. The record is from RNAcentral.
AACGAACGCUGGCGGCAUGCCUAACACAUGCAAGUCGAACGAGACCUUCGGGUCUAGUGGCGCACGGGUGCGUAACGCGUGGGAACCUGCCCUUAGGUUCGGAAUAACUCCCCGAAAGGGGUGCUAAUACCGGAUAAUGUCUUCGGACCAAAGAUUUAUCGCCUUUGGAUGGGCCCGCGUUGGAUUAGCUAGUUGGUAGGGUAAAAACCUACCAAGGCGACGAUCCAUAGCUGGUCUGAGAGGAUGAUCAGCCACACUGGGACUGAGACACGGCCCAGACUCCUACGGGAGGCAGCAGUGGGGAAUAUUCGACAAUGGGCGAAAGCCUGAUCCAGCAAUGCCGCGUGAGUGAUGAAGGCCUUAGGGUUGUAAAGCUCUUUUACCCGGGAUGAUAAUGACAGUACCGGGAGAAUAAGCUCCGGCUAACUCCGUG